This 429-nucleotide ribosomal RNA is filed under the name Chloroflexota bacterium. Its description in RNAcentral is "Chloroflexi bacterium partial 16S ribosomal RNA". It matches the Rfam family "Bacterial small subunit ribosomal RNA", at positions 355 to 776 of the family's 1533-position model. Lineage: Bacteria; Bacillati; Chloroflexota. The record is from RNAcentral.
UAGGGAAUCUUCGGCAAUGGACGAAAGUCUGACCGAGCAACGCCGCGUGAGUGAAGAAGGUUUUCGGAUCGUAAAACUCUGUUGUUAGAGAAGAACAAGGACGUUAGUAACUGAACGUCCCCUGACGGUAUCUAACCAGAAAGCCACGGCUAACUACGUGCCAGCAGCCGCGGUAAUACGUAGGUGGCAAGCGUUGUCCGGAUUUAUUGGGCGUAAAGCGAGCGCAGGCGGUUUCUUAAGUCUGAUGUGAAAGCCCCCGGCUCAACCUGAGAACUGCAUUCGAAACUGGCAGGCUAGAGUCUUGUAGAGGGGGGUAGAAUUCCAGGUGUAGCGGUGAAAUGCGUAGGGAUCUGGAGGAAUACCGGUGGCGAAGGCGGCCCCCAGGACAAAGGCUGACGCUCAGGAGCGAAAGCGUGGGGAGCAAACAGG